UCAAAACUACAGCCCGGUGGUCACUCUCCUAAUUUAGUCUCCAGGCCCCUCCCUUUGUGGUGCCGUCAGCGAUGAAGGCUGGUGGGAAAGCACCCUGUGGAAGUCGGCGACCUGGAAGCAAGGCCUGGCCCCGUCUGACUCACGGAGUGACUACGGGCAACCAAGGACCGUCAGUGUCCAGGCCCUUCUACCCACAGCCUUCAGAAGGAUGGCCAACCGCAGAGACGUUUACACCUCCCUUCCCACACGAGCCCUGAGGUCCCUGACAUCAUCUCCCCAGGGCAGAGGAGCUGGGCAGGUGCCCAGGGACGUCCCUGGCAUGUCCCUCGUUCCUCCAUCGCCCCAGCUGAAGUGCAUUAGAACACCGCCGCUCCUCCCCAGCCCUCUGAAAGGACUUCAGCUCCACCGACAUACAAAGGUUCAGCAGCGUGGCCCUGUCAAGGUCAAGGCUGGACGUACUUACAGCGUUGCACGUUGUGAGCUGUCAGAGGUAAGACGGCGGCACCCAGGCUGGAGUGUCCCUCUGCCAUGUGGUCGCAUCUCCAGACCUUUGCCCGUGCUGUCCCCCUGCCUGGACGGUCCCCCGGCGUAUGGAGCAGAGGAAGCUGCAAGGCCAGGGUCCUCCUGGACCACCUGGGCCUCUGAGGUGACAGCAGAACUUUCCCAGAGAGACUAUUUAUUUCGGGCUGUGGCUCCCUGUGGCCGGCCGGCCCUGCCAGCCUGCUGCCCAUCGCAACACUCUUGGCAGCUAAUUAGGGAGGCGUCCUCCUGGAGGCCCAGGAGAGAGGCUGGCACUGAGCACUGGCCCCAGGGGAGCCCGUCCGGGCGGGUAGCGGGCAGGGGCCUGUGGCCGCAGAGACCCACGGUAGCUGCUUCUUAUAGCCUGAUGCCACCCAGAAACCCAAGGAUGGGUCUUCCCCUCGACUUCCCUUAACCUGGAAACUGCUUUUCUUGACACUUACAACUAUUUCAUGGCAAAUUGGAGGCGUUCCCAGGAUGCUUGAUUGGACAUGAAUCUCUGGUCUCCCCAGAAGUCAGGCAGAGGUUCUGCAAAGUGGGACAGCAUGCCCACCAGCUCGGGGCAACUUUUCCUCACCUGCACAGUGGGUGGACUCACCCGCCCGCCCCCAGAUGUUGCUGUAUGACUGGGUCGCCCAUCCUGUCCUCGGCCCCUUCCGGCCGCAGCCUCUGUGUAUGAGGUGUCUCUUGGGGCUGGCACGCCUCACCGUGCUGUCUUGCUCUCAGGCCCUACAAGGGGUUAAGCAGGCUGGAAGCCAGAGGCUGGACAGGGCAAGGAGGCGUCUUCAUCUGGGGCCGUGUACAGGAGGCCACGGGCCAGCCUCGUGACCAGCGGACGGGUUAGCACCUCCAGGAACCUGGCUGACGUCCCACCCACAGGACAUCUCACCCACACAUCCACAGAUGACACUCAUAUCCCAACCACCUUCCUCCUCUCUCUCCUGACCUCCAGACCUAUAGACACAGCUGCGUCCUGAGCUCCACAGCCCUUCCCGUCCUGUGUCCCCCCGAGCUAGCUCAAAUGCAACACCCCCAAAACUCAGCACACCCUCUUCCAUCCCGUGUCCUGUGUCCUCGGCUCAGAGCUGGGCACCACCAUCCCAAAUGCUCUCCAAACCUGGGCACCACCAUCCCAAAUGCUCUCCAAACCUGGGCGCCAGCCUGGACCUUCCCUUUCCCUCACUUUGAUGUCCAGUGGAUGCCGUCCUCCAUCACAAGCAGUUCCAGGCUCUGAGCCGGGCCUGUCCUCCCAC
Molecule: long non-coding RNA, 1772 nt
Filed under: Equus caballus (horse)
Lineage: Eukaryota; Metazoa; Chordata; Mammalia; Perissodactyla; Equidae
Description: lncRNA (ENSECAG00000051657.1)
Source: RNAcentral